AGAGCGAACGCUGGCGGCAGGCCUAACACAUGCAAGUCGAGCGCCCGUAGCAAUACGGGAGCGGCAGACGGGAUAGUAACACGUGGGAACGCGCCCUUCGGUUCGGAAUAACUCAGGGAAACUUGAGCUAAUACCGGAUACGCCCUUACGGGGAAAGAUUUAUUGCCGAAGGAACGGCCCGCGUCCGAUUAGCUAGUUGGUGAGGUAAUGGCUCACCAAGGCUACGAUCGGUAGCUGGUCUGAGAGGAUGACCAGCAUCACUGGGACUGAGACACGGCCCAGACUCCUACGGGAGGCAGCAGUGGGGAAUAUUGGACAAUGGGCGCAAGCCUGAUCCAGCCAUGCCGCGUGGAUGAUGAAGGCCUUAGGGUUGUAAAGUCCGUUUUAACGGGGAAGAUAAUGACGGUACCCGUAGAAUAAGCCCGGCUAACUUCGCGCCAGCAGCCGC
RNAcentral lists this ribosomal RNA (448 nucleotides) under uncultured bacterium. Its description in RNAcentral is "SSU rRNA". It matches the Rfam family "Bacterial small subunit ribosomal RNA", at positions 26 to 518 of the family's 1533-position model. The record is from RNAcentral.